Molecule: ribosomal RNA, 406 nt
Filed under: uncultured bacterium
Lineage: Bacteria
Description: partial 16S ribosomal RNA
Rfam family: Bacterial small subunit ribosomal RNA
Source: RNAcentral
AUUGAACGCUGGCGGCAUGCUUUACACAUGCAAGUCGGACGAGUGGCGAACGGGUGAGUAAUAUAGUGGAACGUACCGAGUAAUGGGGUAUAACCAAUCGAAAGAUUGGCUACUAGCGCAAAUUAUGCUAGCGGCCAAUAUCGGAUUAGCUAGUUGGUGGGGUAAAGGCAUACCAAGGCGACGAUCAGUAGCGGGCCUGAGAGGAAGAUCCGCCACACUGGGACUGAGACACGGCCCAGACUCCUACGGGAGGCAGCAGUGGGGAAUUUUCGACAAUGGGCGAAAGCCUGAUCGAGCCAUGCCGCGUGUCUGAAGAAGGCCUUCGGGUUGUAAAGCACUUUUGUUAGGGAAGCGGUACCUAAACAAUAAGCACCGGCUAACUACGUGCCAGCAGCCGCGGUAAUAC